GACGAACGCUGGCGGCGUGCUUAACACAUGCAAGUCGAACGGUAAGGCCCUUCGGGGUACACGAGUGGCGAACGGGUGAGUAACACGUGGGUGAUCUGCCCUGCACUUCGGGAUAAGCCUGGGAAACUGGGGCUAAUACCGGAUAGGACCACUGCCUGCAUGGGUGGUGGUGGAAAGCUUUUGCGGUGUGGGAUGGGCCCGCGGCCUAUCAGCUUGUUGGUGGGGUAAUGGCCUACCAAGGCGAAGACGGGUAGCCGGCCUGAGAGGGUGACCGGUCACACUGGGACUGAGAUACGGCCCAGACUCCUACGGGAGGCAGCAGUGGGGAAUAUUGCACAAUGGGCGCAAGCCUGAUGCAGCGACGCCGCGUGAGGGAUGACGGCCUUCGGGUUGUAAACCUCUUUCAGCUAUGACGAAGCGCAAGUGACGGUAGUAGCAGAAGAAGGACCGGCCAACUACGUGCCAGCCGCCGCGGUAA
RNAcentral lists this ribosomal RNA (478 nucleotides) under uncultured bacterium. RNAcentral describes it as "partial 16S ribosomal RNA". It matches the Rfam family "Bacterial small subunit ribosomal RNA", at positions 28 to 523 of the family's 1533-position model. The record is from RNAcentral.